AUUGCCCCAGUAACGGCGAGUGAAGCGGCAACAGCUCAAAUUUGAAAUCUGGUCCCUAGGGCCCGAAUUGUAAUUUGUAGAGGAUGCUUUUGGCACGGUGCCUUCCGAGUUCCCUGGAACGGGACGCCAUAGAGGGUGAGAGCCCCGUCUGGUCGGAUGCCUAGCCUCUGUAAAGCUCCUUCGACGAGUCGAGUAGUUUGGGAAUGCUGCUCAAAAUGGGAGGUAUAUGUCUUCUAAAGCUAAAUAUUGGCCAGAGACCGAUAGCGCACAAGUAGAGUGAUCGAAAGAUGAAAAGCACUUUGAAAAGAGGGUUAAACAGUACGUGAAAUUGUUGAAAGGGAAGCGCCUAUGACCAGACUUGGGCCCGGUGAAUCACCCAGCGUUCUCGCUGGUGCACUUUGCCGGGCACAGGCCAGCAUCAGUUUGGCGCGGGGGAUAAAGGCUUUGGGAAUGUGGCUCCCUCGGGAGUGUUAUAGCCCAUUGUGUAAUACCCUGCGCCGGACUGAGGUACGCGCAUUGCAAGGAUGCUGGCGUAAUGGUCAUCAGCGACCCGUCUUGAAACACGGACCAAGGAGUCGUCCUCGUAUGCGAGUGUUCGGGUGUUAAACCCCUACGCGUAAUGAAAGUGAACGCAGGUGAGAGCUUCGGCGCAUCAUCGACCGAUCCUGAUGUUCUCGGAUGGAUUUGAGUAAGAGCAUACGGGGCCGGACCCGAAAGAAGGUGAACUAUGCCUGUAUAGGGUGAAGCCAGAGGAAACUCUGGUGGAGGCUCGCAGCGGUUCUGACGUGCGAAUCGAUCGUCAAAUAUGGGCAUG
RNAcentral lists this ribosomal RNA (814 nucleotides) under Ascopolyporus albus. Its description in RNAcentral is "partial 28S ribosomal RNA". It matches the Rfam family "Eukaryotic large subunit ribosomal RNA", at positions 74 to 919 of the family's 3401-position model. Lineage: Eukaryota; Fungi; Ascomycota; Sordariomycetes; Hypocreales; Cordycipitaceae. The record is from RNAcentral.